UUUUUAGCGGAAGAAAAUAAAGUAGAAAUAACGACCUAACUUUUAUAUAAAAAAAUAUAAUACAUACGUUUAAUUAAAACUAAAAUAUAAAUAUGUAUAUCAUCACUCUUAUUACAUUAGAGACGAAAAAUAUGAUAAAAAUAAGAAAAAAGAAAAAUAAAUAAGAAAACUGUAUUGGUUUCUACGACUUACUUCCACAUGUGGAAUAGUCUAUCUGGUUGCCGUUUGACCCAUCCUAGAGACAGAAUAAAGUUAUUAGUUUAAAAUAAGCCACAGAAAGUUUUUAAUUCAUAAAAUUUACAGGUAUAAAGUAUUUAUCCUGAAUAAAUUCUUUUUAUAAAAAAUUGCAAGUCAACUUUCGAAUAACCAGAUUUUAUAUUUUAUCUAGCAACUAGCACUUCUUACCAAUUGCACAAACACUUGAUAAACACAAAAAUUGUAACGUUUAAAUAGGUAACUAUUUCGUAG
This 468-nucleotide unclassified non-coding RNA is filed under the name Bombus terrestris (buff-tailed bumblebee). RNAcentral's name for it is "misc RNA ENSBTSG00005027733.1". Lineage: Eukaryota; Metazoa; Arthropoda; Insecta; Hymenoptera; Apidae. The record is from RNAcentral.